RNAcentral lists this ribosomal RNA (497 nucleotides) under uncultured bacterium. RNAcentral describes it as "partial 16S ribosomal RNA". It matches the Rfam family "Bacterial small subunit ribosomal RNA", at positions 28 to 507 of the family's 1533-position model. The record is from RNAcentral.
GAUGAACGCUGGCGGCGUGCCUAAUACAUGCAAGUCGAGCGAACAGAUAAGGAGCUUGCUCCUUUGACGUUAGCGGCGGACGGGUGAGUAACACGUGGGCAACCUACCUAUAAGACUGGAAUAACUCCGGGAAACCGGGGCUAAUGCCGGAUAACAUUUAGAACCGCAUGGUUCUAAAGUGAAAGAUGGUUUUACUAUCACUUAUAGAUGGACCCGCGCCGUAUUAGCUAGUUGGUAAGGUAACGGCUUACCAAGGCAACGAUUCGUAGCCGACCUGAGAGGGUGAUCGGCCGCCCUGGAACUGAGACACGGUCCAGGCUCCUACGGGAGGCAGCAGUAGGGAAUCUGCCGCAAUGGGCGAAAGCCUGGCGGAGCAACGCCACGUGAGUGAUGAAGGUCUUCGGAUCGUAAAACUCUGUUAUUAGGGAAGAACCAAUGUGUAAGUAACUGUGCACGUCUUGACGGUACCUAAUCAGAAAGCCACGGCUAACUACGUG